Molecule: ribosomal RNA, 771 nt
Filed under: uncultured bacterium
Lineage: Bacteria
Description: bacterial SSU rRNA
Rfam family: Bacterial small subunit ribosomal RNA
Source: RNAcentral
CAUGCAAGUCGAGGGGCAGCGCGGGAUAGCAAUAUCCUGGCGGCGACCGGCGGAAGGGUGCGUAACGCGUGAGCGACAUGCCCGUUGCCCGGGGACAACCGGUGGAAACGCCGACUAAUCCCCGAUGGGAUACGAUGCUUCAUGGCAUUGUAUUGAAAGUUACGGCGGCGACGGAUUGGCUCGCGUCCGAUUAGCUUGUUGGCGGGGUAACGGCCCACCAAGGCUACGAUCGGUAGGGGUUCUGAGAGGAAGGCCCCCCACAAUGGGACUGAGACACGGCCCAUACUCCUACGGGAGGCAGCAGUGAGGAAUAUUGGUCAAUGGGCGGAAGCCUGAACCAGCCAUGCCGCGUGCGGGAAGGAGGCCCUAUGGGCUGUGAACCGCUUUUGCCUGGGGGCAAUAAGGGCGUCGCGCACGCCCGAUGAGAGUACCAGGCGAAUAAGCAUCGGCUAACUUCGUGCCAGCAGCCGCGGUAAUACGGGGGAUGCGAGCGUUAUCCGGAUUCAUUGGGUUUAAAGGGUGCGUAGGCUGUGCGUCAAGUCGGGGGUGAAAUUCCGGUGCUCAACACCGGGGCUGCCCUUGAUACUGUCGCGCUGGAGUGCGGAUGCCGCCGGAGGAAUGAGUGGUGUAGCGGUGAAAUGCUUAGAUAUCACUCAGAACACCGAUUGCGAAGGCAUCUGGCGAAUCCGUAACUGACGCUGAGGCACGAAAGCGUGGGGAUAGAACAGGAUUAGAUACCCUGGUAUUCCACGCCGUAAACGAUGAUGGCUA